AAGUGAAGCAGAGGACAGUGGCGGACGGGUGAGUAACGCGUGAGCAACCUGCCUUUCAGUGGGGGACAACAUUUGGAAACGAAUGCUAAUACCGCAUAAGACCACAGUGUCGCAUGGCACAGGGGUCAAAGGAUUUAUCCGCUGAAAGAUGGGCUCGCGUCCGAUUAGCUAGAUGGUGAGGUAACGGCCCACCAUGGCGACGAUCGGUAGCCGGACUGAGAGGUUGAACGGCCACAUUGGGACUGAGACACGGCCCAGACUCC
This 263-nucleotide ribosomal RNA is filed under the name uncultured Eubacteriales bacterium. RNAcentral describes it as "uncultured Clostridiales bacterium partial 16S ribosomal RNA". It matches the Rfam family "Bacterial small subunit ribosomal RNA", at positions 78 to 339 of the family's 1533-position model. The record is from RNAcentral. Lineage: Bacteria; Bacillati; Bacillota; Clostridia; Eubacteriales.